Long non-coding RNA from Trichosurus vulpecula (common brushtail), 2860 nucleotides. RefSeq lists it as uncharacterized. The transcript is spliced from 3 exons. The record is from RefSeq and is a predicted model, not a curated record. Lineage: Eukaryota; Metazoa; Chordata; Mammalia; Diprotodontia; Phalangeridae.
GGGGCGGGCGGGGGCGGGGCUGCGCUCGGAGAAGGAUAAAGGCAGCCUGGGCCGGGCGCGGGGGCUCGGCUUCGGCGCUACGUCAUCGGCGGGGCCCCGGAGCCGCGCUCCCCUCGGCUUGGGACCCAGGCUAUAGGGUGAGUCAGGAAGGGGCCGGCCAUUCGGAAGAACAAAUAUUUAUCUGCGUGGCUUCGUAAAAUCCAAGGAAAUCGCCUUUGCUUCGCAUAAAUGGGGUGGGCUACCAAGAGUCUAAAGUAGAAAUACCGCUGGCCGCCGUGAAGGAGCUUAGGACAACCGUCCACCCCGCCCCCCCACCAUGAACCCCAUCCUCCCAAGCUUCCUUCCCCCCAUUCAUAAAGGAAAAAAAUCGAGGCAAAAAACUCCCAAGAAAUGUAAGAGAGCAUGGCCUCGUUCCUCGGGCUUUGAGCCAUCUCCUCCCGCCUCUCUGUGGUUACUCAGUCGUAGCAACUUGCUGUCCCCAUCCUUCAUCCCCAGGAGGUUGUGUGGUUGCAUUGGCACGUUGUGGGAAGAGGGGGGGAAUCUGGAGUCAGUCCUUUACCCCGCUUCUUGGACAAGUCGCUUUAAAGUCUUUGGGUCUCCUUGUCCUCACCUGCCAAAGAUGAAGUUGGACAAACUGACCUCUGAGGCCGCCUCCUGAGCAAAACUUACUAACCAAGGUGGAAAGACCUGGUCUUCGAAAAAUAAAAGAAACCAAGAUUUGGAGUCAAAAGACCUACGUUUAAUCCCAGCGCCGCUGCUUAUUACUUUUGUGACCUUGGACAAAUCAACUUACUUCUCUGUGACUCCGCUCAUCUGUAAAGCGGCUGUAGAUGAGUUCCUUGAAAAGCCUGGAUUGUUUCCUUUUUGCCUCUAAAUCCCUAGUCCAUCAGUCAACAAGCAUUUGUUAAGUGCCUUUGGUGUGCCAGGUGGGAGGAUAGAAAGACAAAGAAUGAGACACUCCCUGUUCUCAAAGAGUUUAUGUUGUAUUGAGAAUGCCCAAAAGAGAUGCCUCCGUGAAUGCUCAUCACUGCUUCUUGGUGAACUACUUGUAAUAAUCUGGAAAACAAGCUGUCUUCCUCCACCUUAUCGACGUGAAUGGGCUGAGUUAUUUUGAAUAAUUCUGGAUCCCAUGUGGGGUUCCAGGAAUAUUCCUGGACUGGAUGUGAACAGAACAAUGUUAUCUAUAAACAGGCACACAUCAAGAUGUCAGCAUCCCUGGUGAAGCUCUGUUCUCUUCUCUGAUAAUGCCACACCCCGGAGCAGGUCCUCAUCACCACAAGCUGGAACUGUUGCAGUCAUGUCCUGGUGGGACUACCUCCUUCAAGUGGCUCCCCAGCCUUAUUCCUCCGCUCGGCUGCUGGUGACCUUGUGAAAAGGCACACCUGACCUUGUCACUUACACCAUCCCUCUCCACACUCAACCAACUAGAGCUCCCUUUUAUCAUCCAUGACAAAAAGACUUAGGGGAAUGAUAGGGGUAGCUAACAUUCACAUAACACUUUAAGGUUUUCAAAGAGCUUUACAAAAAUCUCAAUUUAUCAUCACAACAACCUAAGAAGUAAAUGCUAUUACUGCCCCCAAUCUACUGGGGAGGAAACUGAAGCAGAAAGUACUUAAGUGAGUUAGUUGUCAAGGGUCACGCAGCUAAUUAGUGUCUCAGGUCAGAUUUGAACUCAGGUAUCCCUGAUUCCCCGUCCAGUACUGCCCAGCUGCCUACCAGCAUGUCAGACAUACCACUUGAUAAACGCUGAGGACAUGGAUGAGGGUAGCAGAGGACUAGAAGGUGUGGAUGGGUCACGAUUUGCAAUGUUGGAAAGAACUGAUAAAAUCUGAGAUUCGUUAAUGUAUCCAUCAAAUAGGUCCGAUGAAUGGAAAACAUCUAAAUUAUGGCAUAUUUGAAUAUCACAAAGUAUUGUAAUAAUGUUAACUACAAAGAACACAGGAAAAUCUGAAGGCGUGAAGUAACAUAAAGUGAUAUGAUUAGAACAGCAUAUAUAUUGACUACAUCUAUCUAUCUAUUUUUUUUAAAGAAAACAAAACCAUUUAUCUGUUAGAAAGCCAGAUUUGGCGAAAUAAAAUAAGCAUUGCAAAACUGACCCAACCUUUUAGCCCAGAGAUCUCCUUAGUAAGGCCCAAGGAUGUUAUUAAAAGGAAAAAAAAAAUUUGUAGAAAAACCUUUACAGUGGAUUUGUCAUUAGGGAAAAAACAACCAACAACAACAGGUAAACAGCCUAGAAGCCCAACAGUUGGGGGAUGACUGAAUAAAUUGUGGCAUAUCCAAAUUUCUUGCCUUCUCCAUGAGGGGAGGAGGGGAGGGAGUGAGAGAAUUUGGAACUCAAAAUUUAAAAAUGAAUGUUAAAAAUUAUUUUCACAUGUAAUUGGGAAAAAAUAAAAUACUAAAUAAAUUUUAAAAUUAUGGCAUAUCAAGGUAAUGAAAUAUUAAUCAAAGGAACCUAUGGACUCACAAAUGUGAAUAUUCCCUUUCAACAAUGUACUUUAUUCAUGCCUGCUUGUAUCAAAUGACACUUGUUGGUGUUCUCUGACUUCGCCAGCGUGUCUCCACCCAGUAUGCUGGGGCAUGUGAUAGCAGGAGGCUAGGCCAUCUCUCCAUCAGUUCUUUCCCACUCUGGACACAUGAUCAGCCCAUCAUAUUUUUCAAUCAUACAUUUCUUUGAUGAUAUAAUUUACUCCUGGUUUUUUUUUUGUUAAAUGUUACAACCUGUACUUGAGCCCAACGUAUUACAUACUGUUCUAGAAAAGUUACAAAUAUGAAUAUAAUGAAUCAUGGAAAGAUUUAUGUGAAAUGAUAAAGCAGAAUCAGUACAACUAUUAAAAAUAGUAACAAAAUCUAAAAAUGGAAG